This 254-nucleotide ribosomal RNA is filed under the name uncultured bacterium. RNAcentral's name for it is "partial 16S ribosomal RNA". It matches the Rfam family "Bacterial small subunit ribosomal RNA", at positions 524 to 776 of the family's 1533-position model. The record is from RNAcentral.
UACGAAGGGGGCUAGCGUUGCUCGGAAUCACUGGGCGUAAAGCGCACGUAGGUGGGUCGUUAAGUUGAGGGUGAAAUCCCAGGGCUCAACCCUGGAACUGCCUUCAAUACUGGCGACCUUCGAGUCCGGGAGAGGUGAGUGGAACUGCGAGUGUAGAGGUGAAAUUCGUAGAUAUUCGGAAGAACACCAGUGGCGAAGGCGGCUCACUGGUCCGGUACUGACGCUGAGGUGCGAAAGCGUGGGGAGCAAACAGG